Long non-coding RNA from Callithrix jacchus (white-tufted-ear marmoset), 1827 nucleotides. NCBI's taxonomy places the organism in Eukaryota, Metazoa, Chordata, Mammalia, Primates, Cebidae. The record is from Ensembl.
AACAAUAUGAUAGUUGUCAUUUAUCAAAUGGUUACUUGUGCUAGUUUAUAUCCACUCACUUUAUUUUAUUUUAUUUUAAGACAGGGUUUUGCUCUUAUGCACAGGCUGAAGUGCAGUCGCUUAAUCUUGGCCCACUGCCGCCUCAACUUCCCAGGCUCAGAUGAUUCUCCCCCUUCAGCAUCCCGAGUAACUGGGACUACAGGUGUUAAUCCCAAGGACAAUUCUUCAAGAAGAUCCUAAACAACAAACUCUGUCUCAGAAUCUGCUUCCCAGAAAAUCCAACCAGCGAUUUUUAAAGCUAUGCAAUGAACAAAUUCUGGGGGAGGGGCAUAUAUCCAUCAAGUAUUUUGUAUUGGAUGGCUUUAUUUUAUUUAGGUACCUGUGCAAAAUUUCUGGCAUUAUCAGGUUUUUUAAAAGUGGGUAUUUGUUAUUUGUGUCAUCAGAUAAAAAUACUAAAGCAGUUUUUAUUUCAAAAAAUAAAAAGUAAAUGGUUUGGUUUUAGUCUGUGUUGAAAAACACGCUCUUUGAAUGAAGAGACCUUUGAAACAGGCUUUGUGUGAGCAACAUGGCUGUUUAUUUACCUGGGUGCAGGCGGGCUAAGGCCGAAAAGGGCUUUAGCAAAGGGCAGUGGGAUAGGAGUUGGUUUUAUAGGUUUGGGUAGUUUUUUGGGGGUGGGGGUGUUGCAGAGUAAGUUCAGUUACAGUGGUGGGGGUAGGGGCAAGGAGUAUACAUGACCACAAGUUCAGUUACACUGGCGGGUGGGGUGAGAGAUAUUUACAUUAUCAUAAGAACAGUUAAGUUGGCAGGGUUGGGUGAGGGGCUUGUCUGGGGAAGCUCUGAUGGGUGAUCAGGGACAGUGGCGAAUGCAGGCAGGGAGUGGGAGACAUCAGCUGAGGCAAGCAAGACUUCAGACUUUCAGGCUCCAGGCUUGCACAUGGAGACCUGACAGUCCGGUCUAAAGUAGACUCCAAAGCGUCUGUAUCAAAAUGGCAGCAUCAACCCAUCUGGCAUGGAUCCUUCUUAAUGAGGAGGUAAGCUUUGCAAACACCCCUCUUGUUCAUACCCUUCCUACUACUCUAGGUGUUCAAUCUGGUGGAAGUUUUGGUACUUCUACCACAUUGUUGAAGCCCUGUUGAGGUUGACUGUGAGGUGUAAGAUGAAGAGCAAUUUUGGGAAACCGUGAGGUGAUGUGCACCACUUGGAUGGAAGUAGAUGGGAGCAGAUGCUACAUGCUGAUAAAUCUCUAACUUUGAGUAGUUUUAGGUAGUCUCUCCUUCUUCAUCAUGAAUAGAUGGAACACAUGUGUUAGAAGGAGAGCCAAAUGCUAUUUGCCACCAGAUUCUUUAGCUUAGAUCCUUGAAUUGUUUAGCAAAUACUUAUACUACCUGUACCAGAAGGACCUUUUAGUUCCUCUUGCAGUGUUUUGUAGCUUUUCCAGAUUUGGGCUAAAUCUUGUGGUCACAUUCUGGGAUGUAGAGAAACUGUAGGGUUAAAAGCCAUUACUACUAAGAACAAAUUACUCUGUGGCCAACACAAUCUUAGGGAAUAUUGAAUUAGCUAUAAUCUGUAGCCGAGAAGAUGAGUUAGUCCCGAAAAUCCAUUCUUCCCUUCUUCAUUUAGUAAAUACAAAGCACAUGCUUUUGGUGGCACAUGGCUAAAGAGCACAUUUCCCAGAUUCCCUGGCAGCUAGAUGUGAUUAAAUGAUAAAUUCAAUGAGCAGAAUCAAAGUUUCAAGCUACCUCCUUAAAGCAAGCACCUUUCUCUCUCCCCCAACUCCCCUGCUAGUUGGGAUACAGACCCAGCAGGUGUGGUGGUGAGGUGUCUGUG